UCAGAUAAGUAGUUCCUUACC
RNAcentral lists this non-coding RNA (21 nucleotides) under Caenorhabditis elegans. Lineage: Eukaryota; Metazoa; Nematoda; Chromadorea; Rhabditida; Rhabditidae. The record is from RNAcentral.